This 155-nucleotide unclassified non-coding RNA is filed under the name uncultured Nectriaceae. RNAcentral describes it as "sequence contains ITS1". Lineage: Eukaryota; Fungi; Ascomycota; Sordariomycetes; Hypocreales; Nectriaceae. The record is from RNAcentral.
CAGAGUCGUAAAACACUCCCAACCCAUGUGAACUUACCUUUGUUGCCUCGGCAGGGCCUACCCUGUAGCUACCCUGUAGCUACCCUGUAGCCUGCCGGUGGACCAUCAAACUCUUGUUAUUUAAUGGAAAUCUGAGCGUCUUAUUUAAUAAGUCA